Molecule: ribosomal RNA, 1394 nt
Filed under: metagenome
Description: bacterial SSU rRNA
Rfam family: Bacterial small subunit ribosomal RNA
Source: RNAcentral
CGUAGGAAUCUGCCCUGUAGUGGGGGACAACUUAGGGAAACUUAAGCUAAUACCGCAUACGCUCCUUCUCGGAAGAGGGGGAGGAAAGCGGGGGACCUUCGGGCCUCGCGCUAUGGGAUGAGCCUGCGUUGGAUUAGCUAGUUGGCAGGGUAAAGGCCUACCAAGGCGACGAUCCAUAGCUGGUCUGAGAGGACGAUCAGCCACACUGGACUGAGACACGGCCCAGACUCCUACGGGAGGCAGCAGUGGGGAAUAUUGGACAAUGGGCGCAAGCCUGAUCCAGCAAUACCGCGUGUGUGAAGAAGGCCUGAGGGUUGUAAAGCACUUUCACUGGGGAGGAAAAAGUGGCGGCCAAUACCCGUUACCUUGACAUUACCUAGAGAAGAAGCACCGGCUAACUCCGUGCCAGCAGCCGCGGUAAUACGGAGGGUGCGAGCGUUAAUCGGAAUUACUGGGCGUAAAGCGUGCGUAGGCGGCCUGUUAAGUCAGAUGUGAAAGCCCUGGGCUCAACCUGGGAACGGCAUUUGAAACUGGCAAGCUAGAGUUAGGUAGAGGGGAGUGGAAUUUCAGGUGUAGCGGUGAAAUGCGUAGAUAUCUGAAGGAACACCAGUGGCGAAGGCGGCUCCCUGGACCCAAACUGACGCUGAGGUAAAAGCGUGGGUAGCAAACAGGAUUAGAUACCCUGGUAGUCCACGCCGUAAACGAUGUCGACUAGCCGUUGGGCCCUUAUAGGGUUUAGUGGCGCAGCUAACGCAUUAAGUCGACCGCCUGGGGAGUACGGCCGCAAGGUUAAAACUCAAAUGAAUUGACGGGGGCCCGCACAAGCGGUGGAGCAUGUGGUUUAAUUCGAUGCAACGCGAAGAACCUUACCUGGGCUUGAACUGCAGAUGACCAGCUACGAAAGUGGCCUCCCGCAAGGGCGUCUGUAGAGGUGCUGCAUGGCUGUCGUCAGCUCGUGUCGUGAGAUGUUGGGUUAAGUCCCGCAACGAGCGCAACCCUUGUCCGCUGUUGCCAUCAGGUAACGCUGGGCACUCUGCGGAGACUGCCGGUGACAAACCGGAGGAAGGUGGGGAUGACGUCAAGUCAGCAUGGCCUUUAUGUCCAGGGCUACACACGUGCUACAAUGGCCGGUACAAACCGUCGCGAGCCCGCGAGGGGGAGCUAAUCGGAUAAGGCCGGUCUCAGUUCGGAUUGUAGGCUGCAACUCGCCUGCAUGAAGUCGGAAUCGCUAGUAAUCGCGGAUCAGCACGCCGCGGUGAAUACGUUCCCGGGCCUUGUACACGCCGCCCGUCACAUCACGAAAGCUGGCUGUACUAGAAAUCGCCGAGCUAACCCGCAAGGGAGGCAAGCGCUUAAGGUAUGGUUAGUGAUUGGGGUGAAGUCGUAACAAGGUA